This 8091-nucleotide long non-coding RNA is filed under the name Homo sapiens (human). RNAcentral's name for it is "HSALNT0342902". Lineage: Eukaryota; Metazoa; Chordata; Mammalia; Primates; Hominidae. The record is from RNAcentral.
CAAUCCACUGACUCAAAUGUUAGUCUCUGGUAACACCCUCACAGACACACCCAGGAACAAUACUUUGCUUCCUUCAGUCUAAUUAAGCUGACACUCAAUAUUAACCAUCACAGUAAGCAUAUCAGAGACUAUAGGGUCUGCUGUUUGGGACAGGGUGUUCUGAAAGGACCUCUGGUAAGGUGACUUUUGAGCAUAGACCUGAAGAAAAUGGAGGAAUGAGCCCUGUACAUUGUCAGGGAAGAACUGCUCUGGCAGAGGAAAUACAGAUGGAAAGGGCCUGCACUGGAAAAGUGAUCGGCAUGUUAGAGGCACAGUGAGGAGGCCAACACAACCGGUGAGGAGUGAAUCAGGAGAAUAAUAGGGGAUGAAGUCACAGUAUUGGGACCCAGGUCAUAGAGAGCCCUGGAAGGCAUUUUAAGGACUUGGACUUUGAGGAAAAUGAGAAACCAUUGGCCAGUUUGGGGUACAUGGAUGAUAUUUAACCAGAAGAUUCUUUUUCCUCUCUAUCAAGUCAUCACUUUCCACAUUUUAUGGAAAGAAGUUUUAUCUUUUCUUGUUAAGCUAUUGGUGAAUUUUUAACUUUGGGGUUUUGUUUCGGAUAGGUAUUGGGAGAAGGAGAGGCUGUCAACCCAUGCCACUAUGCUAUCUCUAAUUCUGCCAUCCAGACCGAGCAAACGUACUUAAGACCUUUGUGUAAGAUCAGAAAAUCAUAAGACAGCAUUAAAAAGUACUAUACAGGAGGAGAUGGAACAAGAUGGCCAAAUAGAAGCCUCCAGCAAUCAUCUCCCCGAAAGGAAUUGAACAACUAUCAAAACAAAAUUGAACAACUAUCUAAACAAAAAAGUACCUUCAUAAAAAACAAAAAUCAGGACAAUAUCAGAACGGCACAUACAAGUGUCCCCAAGUCAUAUUUGGAAUAAGAUCACUUGGGAACACAAGUCAAAGAAGGACACAGUGUUCUGCCUCUCCUGAGUAAGCAGCAACAACGCACCAUCUUGGAAUCAGGGGACGGCCCUCACCAGACAACUAAAUCUGCAGACACCUUGGACUUCCCAGCCUCCAGAACUGUCUUUCUGGCAACUGUCUAAACAUAAACCAGAGAAGGGCAAGGCAGACUCAGGAAGGACAAAUAGAAGGCUAUUUUCAUAAAUCGGGCAUACAAUGGUGGACAAAACAGCUGCCUUUCUUCCCCGUAUGGAGCUUACAGUAUAGUGAAUAUUUCAUGGGACUAGUAUCUACAGAAGGUGUUUUGGGAAGCACAGCUUUGGAGAGAGUAAUUUGCCAACAUUGCACAGAAUAAAGGCACCAUGAGGGCCCAAGGAAGGAAAAGAUUUGCAGCUGUCUUGACCACCACCACAUGUGCAGCAUCCCUCUGGGUCUCUUCCAUGACAACCCUGUGGGAAGCCAGGCAAGUGAGAAUCAAUGUAAACAUGAAGUUCAUGCUGCUUACUGUGUCGUGAUAAUGUCCUUGUCUCCCAAUCAGGAGCCUCAUGUCUUCUUGCCAGCCUCUGUGGAACUGUGGUAGGCUAUUAAGUUAAUUAGCAAGCAGGGUAAAGUCUCAGAUCCUUUGCAUUUUCUUUUAACCAGCUCUUUCUAGGUGAAAGACACAUGGAUAUCACUGUGAAACUUCAUGCUCUGUAUAGCUCAAAAUUUUGCCCAAGGGGAGGUUCCAGCACCAUCUGAUUAGUACAUAUUGCUGAGAAAAAUACUAAAGGAAGAAAAUACUAAUAAUAAUAUAUUUCACUAACCCUCUUAGAUAUUAAGAAAUGAAUGAAAAGGUCUAUAUUAUUGACUAUUAAUCACUUGGAAUCUCUGUUGUUAAACUGAGAAGUAAACUGCAUUGCCUAGAAUAUUGGCCAUAUUUUUAGUGAUACUAAUUAAAUUGUUUGAGAUAGAUCUGAAGACAGCAGAAGCUUGUCUGGGCCUAGCUUCCUUGAAUUCUUCUUCCCCGAAUUGCUAUGUCUUGGUAAUUUUGAAAUAUGAGUUAGAAACCAUCUACUUACCUAACUGAUAUCAUUAUUCCAGUUAAUGUUUGUCCCAAGGUAUUUCUCAAAGACUUAAGAAAAAUGAAAAUUCUAUUUUUUAAAGGGCCUAGCUCUUUUAAAAGGAUAUGUUUCAUGGAAUUCUAUUUAUCAACAAACAUGUAGACUACUUCAACAAGACUUCAAUGUGAUUUCAUGUGUUUAUUCUCCUGAGUCAGAUGUGAACAAUGUAAUCCUAAAAGAUUUUGGGGAAUGGUGACAUAUGCUACUUAAUUCACACUCAUGAGCUUAAGAGAAGAUAAGAGAAUGUCAUGCUCAUGUGUGACAAAGAUAAAACUAUAUUCUAACUAGGAUUACAAGAAUAAAACACCAGAAACUUGACAACUUGACAUUUUUUCACAGUGCUUAAAAAUAAAUGUAAUAAAACUUUGGCAGUUAAUGUCAUUUUGAUUUGCUUUAAUUUUAUUUUCAAACCUCUAUUAUUGAAAUAAUAAUUUCAUUAUUUCAAACCUUCAUAGGAAAAUAAUAGAAUUGUGCUGUUGUGUCAGUAUAAGACAUAGUCAACAUUUUCUGCAAUGAACAAGUAAUGUUGAGAUUAACAAGAUUUCUCUUAAUAAAUGUUUUAUACAAGCAUAAGAAAAAUGGAUAGCACAAAAAAUGGAUAGCACAAUAGGGUAACAUUAGCACUUUAACAAAUAAAUCCCAACAUUCUAAUGGCUUAAUACAAUUGAAUUUUAUUUCUUGCUCAUGCAACAGUCCAGCACAGGUGCUCAUGGUCUGCUGCUGGGGCCACGAUGCAUCUGUCUCAUGCAGUCAUAUAGAGACCCAAGUUGAUAGCUGUGAUGUGUUCUCCAAAACAUGGCUUUAGAGGUUGCCAUGGAAAUCAACAUCCAACUGAUGGAAGAGGCAAGAGAAAGGAUGCAAAAACCACACCAGCUGUUUAAUUACCUGGGUCCAGAAGUAACAGGUGCCACUACCUCUCACAUUCUAUUAGUGGAAAUUAGUCACAUGGCCUCUCCUAACUGCUAGUAAGUAUAGAAAAGUUGGUUUUGGCUGGGCAGCCACAAGACAAAGCUACUAAGAAAGACAUAGCAUUAAUUUUAUGUUGUUAGCCAUCUCUGCUAUAAGCGUAAGUCAAAUAGAAUUUUCAUUUUUCUUAAGUCUUUGAGAAAAACAUUGGGACAAACAUUAACUGGAAUAUUGAUAUCCAUUAGGUAUGAGCUUGAUUGUUUCUAACUCAUAUUUCAAAAUUACCAGAUAUAGCAAUUCAGGGAAGAAGAAAAAGGUUUAAAGACUGUGACAUUCAGACUGCUAUAUUCAAUACAGAAAAGAUAUUUGGUGAUAUUUCUAUCCCUUUUUCUUAAAUGUACAUUCUUCUGGGAUUUAAUAAAGUCACAUUCUGAUUUUUAAAAAUAGUACUAUUAAUCUCACUAUAGAGCUCUGAAAAUAAUAGAAUCGUGCUGUUAUAUUACAGCAGUUAUUGAUUGUCCAUUUUUUCCAAAGACACUGAGAUCUAUGGAAGAAAUAAGCCUCAUUAUUUUUCAUUUGUAUUUAAUGUAGAUGCAACAAAAGUUAUAUACUUCUUUAUUAUAUAUUUUGUCAUGCCUAUUAAAUGCCAGUUAUAUAAGAUGAUUCCUGAUCCAAACACAGUGCUUUAUGUUAUUGGGAUUAAAAGAAUUAGUUAAAGCUUUAAGUUAAAUUACUUUUGAAUUCAUUUAUGGCUAGGUACACAUGAAAUAAACACUCUACAUUGUCUACAGUGGUAAUUGCCAAGAAAAAGAGUAUAUUUUAGUAACAAUUUGGCUAAGCGCCUCAAAUUCAAAGUAAUUCCACAUUUAAAUACUAACACUCAAACCUGAAAGUUGUCUUUAAAAGCUUUAUAAAUUGUUUCUGGUGAGGGUUUUACGACUAUGGGGUGGGUGGAAAGGGGAGGAAGGAAGAGGGACUGCCUCACUAUAAGCUGAUAACAAGGUUGCUAAAAAUUGCUCUUAUCAAUGGUCUUUGCACUUAACUUGUUUAAAUAAAAGAAAAAACUUCAUGUGAGUCAUCGUAUUUUGUUCACUACAGCUUGGCAGGUCACCUUGUUCUAGCAGAUAGAAACUGAAUCAAUAUGGGAAGAGCCAGAAUUUGGACAAGGUUCACCAAACAUUCACACUGAUGCCAGGUGGGCCAAGAAAAAGGGAAUGUCCUGCCUCUGAGGUAUCUAAAAAUUUUUAUGUUUAAGUCAAGGGUUUUGUGUUGUGAAGGCAGAGCUUUGAAUUUCUAAUAGAAGAAGAAAAGCAGAAUAUACCCAGAAACUCCUGAUUAAAUUUAUGGUCCUCUAAUAAUAUUUUAACUUUAAAGGAGUCAGACGGCAUUCUAGAAAAGAGCCCUUUGGUCAAUGCUUUCCUAUCUAUAGUUUAAUCAACCCUUCCAUAUAUGCACAUAUUAAGCAAAUUCAAAUGACAUUAAAAAUAAGUUACAUUUCUUAUUCUAACCCCUGCCAUUCAUCCCGCUUUCCCCCCAUUGUCACACAUAUGCCCACUUCCACUUCUGCACAUAGGAAGAAAGGGUGAAUAAAUGUCAGAAUCAAGUGGAAAGAUUAAUCAUAGGCUGUUUUUUACAUUGUUUUAUUCUGAGUCAGAAUACGCUUUACAGGACAUAGGCAAGCACUUGAAAUAUAGGACUCAGAACAUAAGAUGCUUCGUAGGACCCAGGCAAGCACAGCAAUUAAAUGGAAUUCCACAUUUUUAAGGAAAGCUUUUUACUUUUCUUCCUCUUUUUGUUUCUCUUUACUUUUGCAGCUCCCUUCAAAAGUCCUUUCUGUGAGACACAUUUUUAACUACCAUAUUGUUCAAUUUUAACAAGAGUUCAGGGUGAGGAAGGUUAUAGCUGAGGCAUUUACAAGGAUUUCCUGUUUGUAGUGGCUGCUUUUUCCUCUUUGGUAAUGUGUUUUUCACAUUUUUUAAAAGCUGCCUGUAUGCAUUAAUAUUACUUAAUCUCCAUCACCUUAAGAAACCAUAUGGGGCAGGGAGAGGAAGACCGGUGCUGGCUCUUUCCCUUUCUCAAUGACUUGAGACACCUUAACCUUGCUUAACUUUUUCUAGAAAAUGAAGAUAGUAACACCUGCUCUGAAUUGUCACAGAAUUAUUGUAAGGCUCAAAUAAAAUCUAUGUAUUUAAGGAAUCAAUAUGUAAUAAAGAUCUUGAAGUGUUAGUAGUCGAUUAUAUCUGAGAUACAUUCGCCAAUAUCCAAGGGGGACAAAGAGAGCUCCAUACCCCGGGGGAAAUGUAGUCCACUGACAAUUUGUCCACACAAUUAGAAUACAAAAUAGCACCCUAUGCCUCAACUUUUUUACAGUCAAAGAAAGCAUGAGGCAUAAAUAGUCCUGAAGGGAUGUGGAGUCUGUUUGCUCUGCAUAUGAUUUGCAUAUGCUCCUCUGAAAAGUCACCGGGCAACCGAGUAAUUGUACAGUAAUGAUGUGGUUAAAAAAACAGAUUGAUCUACUUUUAUUAUUAUUGUUACAAAAUAAUACAUAUAUUUUUAAAAUUCAAACGAUACUAAAAGUUACAUUCCCUGUCCUACUCCCUGUCACUUAUACCAUUUCCCAGUUUCUGUUUUUAGUUCUGAUGGUUUCCUUUUUGCUCUCCACUGUGACUGAUAUACAUUUAUACUUCUAUUUUUUGAUGACUCAAGUUUCGAUAGUAUCUUCUCACUCCCAGUACAAGAUAUUCAGUACACAAAAGAUAUCCUUUUCUCUCCUGAGUUUCAUUUUACGUGUGUAUGAACACACAAACAUGCUAACACACAUGCUCACACAAUCUUUUAGCUCUUGUAUAGGUUCCUGAAUUAAUUGUUCAGUAGUAUACUAAGCCUCUACUUCUGGUUUCCAAUUUAGGCCCUGCAUGUUGUCCAACACUAGCCCAUCAGUGGGAUUGUUUUACAUUCAGGGCAGCUGCACUACUGCCUCCUUGGAGAACAGUGCCUCCUGGAGUUUAGCAGUGCACAGCCCUACAGAUUAAUGCAGGGGCCCUGAUCAUAUUUGUAUUUUGUUCCUGUAUAUGUUUAAUCAAUCUUUAGAAUCUCAUCUAUAGUUGGUUCAUUAUUGCUGGGAAACAAACGGCAUUUACAAAGUCAAAUUUUAGUAAUGUUAUUCAUUAUAUAAAUGAAUAGUAUCUUUCUCUCCAUAUCCUUUACAAAGUCUUCAAAAGUUUCUGAAAUUUCACUAGGAUAAGUUGGUGGAUCUUUUUCUCACCCAUUCAGUACUUUGUGGGCUUUUUCAAAUGGCAGAUUUGUGUCUUUUUUAAAACUCUGAAUAAUUUUCUUCUAUUACAGCUUUGAUAAUUUUCAUCCCUCUGUUUUCCCUACUCACUCUUUCUAGAACUUCUUUUUCCAUUUUUUAGUGAUAAAAUACACAUACAUAAAUACUAUCUUAACCAUUUCUAAGUAUGCAAUUCAGUGGUACUAAAUACAUUCAUAAUGUUAUGCCACAUAACCACCAUCCAUCUCCAUAACUCUUUUCAACUUGUAAAACUGAAACUCUAUACCCAUUAAGCAAUAACUCCUCAUUCCUCCUCCCCCAAACUCCUGGAAACAACUAUUCUACUUUCUGUGUUUAUGAUUUUGAAUACUCUAAGUACUUCAUGUAAAAGGAAUCAUGCAGCAUUUGUGUUUUUGUAAUUGGCUUAUUUCACUUAGCAGGUCCUCAGGGUUCAUCAGUGUUUUAGCAUGAAUCAGAAUUUCCUUCUUUUUAAGGCUGCAUAAUAGUCUACUGUAUGUAUACACCAUAGUUACUUAUCCACACAUCCACUGAUGGAUACUUGAGUUGCUUCCAUGGUUUAGCUACUGUGGAUAAUGCUGCUAUGGUCAUGAGUGUACAAAUAUCUCUUAGGGUUCUAUCAAUUAUUUUGGGUAUAUACUCAGAAGUGGAAUUGCUGAAUCAUAUAAUGAUUCUAUUUUUAAUUUUUUUAGGAAUGGCCAUACUGUUGUCCACAGUGGCUGUAUCACAUAAAUUCCCAUUAAUGGUGCAAAGGUUUCAGUUUCUCCACAUCCUCACCAACAUUUGUUAUUUUCUGUUUUGUCUUGUUGAUAUUUGUCAUUCUAAUGAGCGUGAGGCGUUAUCUCAUGGUAGUUUUAAUUUGCACUUCCCUAAUGAUUAGUGAUGCUAAGCAUCUGUUCACGUACUUAUUGUCCAUUUGUAUAUCUUGUUUGGAGAAAUGUCUAUUCAAGUACUCUGCUCAUUUUUGAAUCAGGUUGUUUGCUUUUUUUGUUGUAAGUUACAGAAGUUUCUAUAUAUUCUAAAUAUUAUAUUCUGAUAAGGGUAUCAGAUAUAUGACUUGAGAAUAUUUCCUCCCAUUCUGUGGUUCACAUUUUUACUCCAUUGCUAGUGUCUUUUGAUGUAUAAAAUUAAUUUUAAUGAGGUCAAUUUGUCUAUUAUUUCCUUUGCUGUCUGUGCCUUUGGUGUCAAGUCCAAGAAGUCAUUGCCAAGUCCAAUGUCAUAAAGCUUUUGCUCUAUGUUUUCUUCUGAGAGUUUUAUUAGUUUAGAUCUUACAUUUAGGUCUUUGAUGCAUUUGCAGUUAAUUUUUGUAUAUAGUGUUGGGUAAGGGCCCAACUUCAUUCUUUUGCAUGGGAAAAUCCAGUUUUCUAAGCACCAUUGUUGAAAAGAGUAUUCUUUCUACAUUGAAUAGUCUUAGCACCUUGUCAAAAAUCACUUGAUCAUAUGUGUUAGGGUUUAUUUCUGGGCUCUGUAUUCUAUUCCAUUAGCCUGUAUGUCUGUCUUUUUACCAGUGCCACGCUGUAUUGAUUUUUGUAGCUUUGUUGUAAGUUUUCCAAUAGAAAACUGUGAUUUUUCCAGCUUUGUUCUUCUUCAAGAUUGUUUUGUCUAUUUGAGGUCCCUUCAGAAUUCCAUUUGAAUUUUUGGAUGAGUUUUUCUAUUUAUGAAAAAAAAAAUCAUUGGAAUUUUGAAAAACAUUGCACUGAAUUUUUACAUUACUUUGGAGAGCAUUGACAUCUUAACAAUAUGAAGUUUUCCAAUCUAUCCAUGAAGAUGGGAUGUGUUUUCAUGUAUUUAUGUAUUCUUUCUUUCAGCAACAUUUUAUAGUUUAGGCUGGGUGUGGUGGCUCACACCUCU